AGUGCAGUCUACACCUGUCCGCUGACUAAAUGAACCAGCAGAGUCACCACUACCAAACCUCAGGGCUGGGGAUGGGAAGGAUAAUCUCUUACACUCUUCCAAGAGAUUCUCCAAUAGGAGAACUUCCGGAUGAACCAGGAAUCCUGUGAUGAUAGUGAGCCGAGGGUGACUCUUCCUUGCAUCACUUUACGGAGAUACUUAUCAAAUGCCCAAACAAGGCCCAUAAAUCGCUCACUUCCCUGGUCGGCUCAUACCGUUCCCAGCCCCAUGUGGUCUAUCAAAGGGUCGCUUGGUGAGAGGCCAAGCCGCCAGACGUCUUCCCUCGGUGCUUUUUUAAUUUCCUCUCUUCCUUCCUUUAUUCUCCAAGAUACUACAUCUUUAAAUAAAAGGCAAUGC
RNAcentral lists this long non-coding RNA (396 nucleotides) under Mustela putorius furo (domestic ferret). RNAcentral's name for it is "lncRNA (ENSMPUG00000031338.1)". Lineage: Eukaryota; Metazoa; Chordata; Mammalia; Carnivora; Mustelidae. The record is from RNAcentral.